GUGGGCUGGGCAGACAGCUGUCCGUACUUCAGUGCGGAGGAAACUCCAUCCACCAUUAGCCUUGAUGGUUUGCAGUUCGUGAGAACAAAGCUGAAAAGUUUGGGAUUUAAUUGAGCUUAAGAUGUUCAAAAGAAUCUUAGCAAGGUGUAAGAUCAAACAGCUCUGUUGAUGAAAGAGGAGCGGGUAGAUCGCAUAGACGAAUGCUGUCAAACAAAGAUGAACGUGUUUACAAGAUUUGUUACAGAAGAUGGGUUAUGCCCAGCACAC
This 267-nucleotide RNase P RNA is filed under the name Candidatus Aenigmatarchaeota archaeon. Its description in RNAcentral is "RNase P RNA component". It matches the Rfam family "Archaeal RNase P". Rfam says of the family: Ribonuclease P (RNase P) is a ubiquitous endoribonuclease, found in archaea, bacteria and eukarya as well as chloroplasts and mitochondria. Lineage: Archaea; Nanobdellati; Candidatus Aenigmatarchaeota. The record is from RNAcentral.